UUUCCGUAGGUGAACCUGCGGAAGGAUCAUUAACGAGUUAGGGUCUUCCGGGCCGACCUCCCAACCCUAUGUUUAUUGAACCUCUGUUGCUUCGGCGGACCCGCCUCACGGCCGCCGGAGGACCGCUGCAAGGCGUCCUCUGGCCAGCGUCCGCCGAUGGCCAACCACUUAAACUCUGAAUGAAUCGUGUCAUAUGUCUAAGUCUAUGAUUAAAUUAAAGCAAAACUUUCAACAACGGAUCUCUUGGUUCUG
This 252-nucleotide unclassified non-coding RNA is filed under the name plant metagenome. RNAcentral's name for it is "partial contains small subunit ribosomal RNA, internal transcribed spacer 1, and 5.8S ribosomal RNA". The record is from RNAcentral.